RNAcentral lists this transfer RNA (72 nucleotides) under Ictidomys tridecemlineatus (thirteen-lined ground squirrel). Its description in RNAcentral is "Spermophilus tridecemlineatus (thirteen-lined ground squirrel) tRNA". It matches the Rfam family "tRNA". Rfam says of the family: Transfer RNA (tRNA) molecules are approximately 80 nucleotides in length. Their secondary structure includes four short double-helical elements and three loops (D, anti-codon, and T loops). Further hydrogen bonds mediate the characteristic L-shaped molecular structure. tRNAs have two regions of fundamental functional importance: the anti-codon, which is responsible for specific mRNA codon recognition, and the 3' end, to which the tRNAs corresponding amino acid is attached (by aminoacyl-tRNA synthetases). tRNAs cope with the degeneracy of the genetic code in two manners: having more than one tRNA (with a specific anti-codon) for a particular amino acid; and 'wobble' base-pairing, i.e. permitting non-standard base-pairing at the 3rd anti-codon position. The record is from Rfam by way of RNAcentral. Lineage: Eukaryota; Metazoa; Chordata; Mammalia; Rodentia; Sciuridae.
GGGGAUAUAGCUCAGUUGGUAGAGUGCUUGCCUUUCGUGCACAAGGCCUUGGGUUCAACCCCAGCACCAUCA